GUUGAUCCUUCCCGUUGUCAUAAGCUUGUCUCAAAAGUUAAGCCAUGCAUGUUUUAGUCUAAACCGCCUUAUAUCGGGAAACUGCGAAUGGCUCACUUAAUCCGUUCUAGGUUUUUUGAAGGUACCUUUCUACUUGGAUAACCGUAGUAACCCCAGAAUUAAUACGUGCGCAAAUCCCGACUCUUGGGAGGGAAGUAUUUAUUUGAUAAAAGGCCAGCCGGGCUUGCCCGACCUGCGGUGAAUCCUGGUAAAUUCACGAAUUGCACGGCCUUGUGCCGGCGAUGUUUCAUUCAAAUUUUCUGCCCUAUCAACUUUUGAUGGUAGGAUUGCGGCCCACCAUGGUGGUAACGGGUAACGGAGGAUUAGGGUUGGAUUCCGGGGAGGGAGCCUGGGAAACGGCUACCACAUCCAAGGAAGGCAGCCGGCGGGCAAAUUACCCAAUCCUGAUUCAGGGAGGUUGUGACAAUAAAUAACAAUGCCGGGCUUUUCAAGUUUGGUAAUUGGAAAGGGAACAAUCUAAACCCCUUAUCGAGUAUCCAUU
Molecule: ribosomal RNA, 541 nt
Filed under: uncultured eukaryote
Lineage: Eukaryota
Description: partial 18S ribosomal RNA
Rfam family: Eukaryotic small subunit ribosomal RNA
Source: RNAcentral